RNAcentral lists this ribosomal RNA (300 nucleotides) under uncultured bacterium. RNAcentral describes it as "bacterial SSU rRNA". It matches the Rfam family "Bacterial small subunit ribosomal RNA", at positions 775 to 1067 of the family's 1533-position model. The record is from RNAcentral.
GGAUUAGAUACCCUGGUAGUCCUAGCCGUAAACGAUGGGCACUAGGUAGUGGCAGGUCUGACCCUGUCGCUGCUGGAGCUAAUGUAUUAAGUGCCCCGCCUGGGGAGUAUGGUCGCAAGGCUAAAACUCAAAGGAAUUGACGGGGGCUCACACAAGCGGUGGAGCAUGUGGUUUAAUUCGAAACAACGCGCAGAACCUUACCUGGGUUUGACAUGCAUGGAUUAGCUUCCUGAAAGGGAAGUGACGCGGGUAACCGUGGAACGUGCACAGGUGCUGCAUGGCUGUCGUCAGCUCGUGCCG